Molecule: non-coding RNA, 4383 nt
Organism: Lactuca sativa (garden lettuce)
Lineage: Eukaryota; Viridiplantae; Streptophyta; Magnoliopsida; Asterales; Asteraceae
Source: RefSeq, a predicted model, not a curated record
AGCUAUGGCUUGAGUGGUUUGUUUAUGCUUGAAUACCAUCUUUGUUUCUAGCCGCUUUGGAAUUGGAGCACCGUCUCUUCUUCUCACAUCUACUUUCCACCGCUUUGUUAAAUGUUGUUAUCUUACUUCCUUCAAUAAUUUUAUUCCCUUGUCGAUCCCUUUUCUUUUUAUCAUCGUUGUAGAAGAACACCACAACCAUAUUACAUCAUCAGAAUGAAGUCCUUCACCCUCUGCUCUACCAUCGUUUCCACCGCCACCGUUGGCCAAUCAUGUCUUCAUCUGGUAUGCUUCCACCUCCUUCUUUUUUCUUUUAUCUCAAAGAGAAGGCAUCAUUUACUCGAUUCUCCACCACAUCACUGAUUAUCACUCAUGCCUCCGUCGAUUAAUAAAUUGUAUCGGUUGUUAUUAUCUUACUUCCUUCAACGAUUUCAUGCCCUAAACUGACUGUUGCUUUUGCUAUUUCACAUACAAGAAUUGUGCGAUUUGUAGCCCUAAUUUGUAAAGCUGAUUACCUCCAUACAUGAAGCAUCUACCUGUUAUUGUAGAUGUCGGUUGUUCUAUGUGCGUUUCUAACAUCGAGCACUGCUUCUUACAAACAAACUUCAGACUCCACGAACUCUAAUUGGUAUCUUAAUCAUUGUUGUCAAUCAAAUGAGGGAUAGCUUGUUUCUCACAAAAAAACUUGAUGACGCUUGUAACUUGCUCCUUUUUCGUUCUCUUUUGCUCAUCCGUUUGAUUUCCAGGAUUUAAGCCGAUGUCGAUUUAGGGGUUAUAGUAUCUUCUUCAAAUCCACUUUAUGAACAAAUCAUUCCACCGGGCAUCAAAACCCUAACCCUUAUCAUUCAACCGACCCCGGUUUCAUCCACCAACAUCAUCAAAGCCUACAAAGGAUGCUUGCAAAGAGUGUUGAUUGAAAUUAUGGAAUCGGUUCAGUUAACGGGCUAAUGGCGGCCUUUCUUCCAAUCUCGAUUUGGGUUUGUCGAUCAAAGAAAAAAAGGCGAAUUAUAUCCACAUCAAGCAAACCCCUCUGUCAGUCAAAAUUAAACCAACUGACUGCCUUUUGAUUUAAUUGUAGGUUUCAUCCAAGUGUUGCCACUGUUAGCUCAUCUUUUCUAUUAGGAAUUUAAAGCCUCCACUAUAUAACUCUUAAAGAAAGAACAUGUAUAUGUUACCUGGUUUGCUAUAUACAGGUGUCUGUUUGUCUAUCAGUAGGAAGGAUUAUUUUAUAAGAAUGAUACUUGACACAGUCACUAAAUUUGAAUUACAGGAGAGGUGUAUGUAUAUAAGAUUUGGUUCUUAAUGAAGAAAACUGGAUUAUGAUUUGAAUUGAUGCAAUUCUUUCAUGUUGAUGGCACUGGUGGUUACUAGAUUGGUCACCUUUACAAACCUUCUUCUAAUAAGGAUGAUUGGAGUGACAGUUUCAAUCAGAAAGGAUGUUAUUUCAAGGCGUCAUUCAAUUUGAAAAACUUUAUACAUGAACUCCUUAUAUGUGUAACACCCUAUUCCGAAUCAUUUCCUAUGUGGGGGUGGUGACUCGAAGACCGAGUAUCAUCAGGCUUAGGGGAUUUAAGGAAAAGAGAUCUAGACCUAUUUAGGUGUGGGUAAUGUAAUUUGGAUGAUCCGGGAGUCCGGUCUAUGUUUUGGCGCCAAGAAGAAUUUCGGUAAAGUGUCAGUUCGGGCUUUUAUGAAUUUUGGAUUUUUGUUCGGAAAGUUUUAAGGCAAGGAUGAGUUGAUAGAAGUGUAGAGCUUCUUGUUGACUUUCAUUGGAUAUCAAGAACAUCAAAUUUGGAGUUAGAACGAAGAAGUUAUGCUUGUUUGAAGUUUAGUCGGUUUUGGGUUAUGCUGAGUACGAUGGGCGUACAGAGGAGAGUAGGUUGGGCGUACUGAGACACCCUAAUUACGCUGGGCAUACCAUAAGUACGCUGGGCGUAUGAAAUCAUGGCCUAAGCCCUAUAUUUGUGGUUUGAUCCCUAUUUAAGCACCUUAACUCCCCAAAACCCACUCCAUUCUCAGCCUCCACCCCUCUAACACCCCUUCCAUGAAACCAUAACCCUAGUUGACCCCUUUGUGAUAAAAGAAGGUGUUUUUGAGUGCUUUGGAGUAUGCAUGGUGUACCUCGGAGAAGAAGGAACUUCUUAGAGAAGUGUUGGUUGCAUUGGAGCUUGUAGAUCUAGACUUUGUUCACCUUGAUCUAUCUUCUAGAGGUAUAAAGUUUGAAUUUUGAUGAUACAUUUGUUAGAUCUAACUAGUUUUGGAUGUUACGAGCUUUUGGUCAUUUUAGUGCAUAAAGUUUAGAUCUUGAAAUUUUGUGACCUUGUUAUGGAUAACGUUGGAAACUUUAUUAUCUAAACAUCAUUUUGAUUCAGAUAUGAAAGUUGGCGACUUAUACUUAAUGGAUUAAGUUGAAAAAGAUAAACUUUUGGGUCCCUUUGAGACUUAAAGACUAGAUCUUGUUUGUUGGGACCAUUAUAAUGGAUAAAGUUGGAAACUUUAUCCAUUAUAAAGCUAUUAUGAACUAUAAAAAUGUGAUAUUGACCCUUCUAUCCCUUCCAUGCAAGAGUUGUGAUAUUUUCUUGCGUUAAGAACUUAGGGUUUUGGACAUUAAGCACUUUAUAACCAUGCAAAGUCAUAAAGUUGGAAACUUUAUGACUUAGUACAUCAUUUUGGGUUUGGAUCUGAGUUUUGGAUGUAAGAACUUAAUGGAGUUUUGGGAUUGGGCUUAGUACGCUGGGCAUAUGCAGUCAGCACCCAGAGUAAGAUGGGCGUACUCUCUUGGUACGCAGGGUGUACUCCGCUUGGAAGAAAUAUUGACUUUUGGACCUUAACCAUUGACUUUGACUUUGACCAUGGUUGACCAAGUUUGACCUAAGGGUAUUUUGGGUUAUAGGGUUAAUUAUUGAUUAAGAUUGUAUUUAUUGUUAGUUGGUGCGAGAUUAUCUGAUUCGGCGGUCUAAGAAGUUAUUUGAUUAUUAGCGGAUUGAGGUAAGUCUUUCUUAUUGUACUUACGGGUCGAAGACACUAAGGCCAACCCAUUGGAUUAGAUAUCCUGAUAUGUGAUAGUAUGAUGAUAUGCUUAGUGAUAUGAAGAUUUACCUAAUUGUCUGCUGACUGAUUAUAUGCUUAUGUAUAUAUGUGCACAUAUUUGGUUGGUGGUUGAUGCUUUACUUCUUUGUACGUGAGCCAACAAACCAAGGGUAUUCCAACCUGAUGGUUGAUUGCACCCAAGUUAUGUAUAUAUUCGCAUUCCAAUCCAGGUUAUUCCAUCCCGAGGAUGACUGGACCCUAUGAUUGACUGGGCAUGGGGUAUUCCAACACGAUGGUUGAUUGUACCCAACAUGAUUAUUAUGGUAUAUGGUGAGAUUGGACUGCUCUGUGCAUCAGUCAAUAGGUUGGGGGUAUACCAACCCGAUGGUUGAUUGGACCCGACAUGUAUGGUAUUCCAACCGGAUCAGGGUUUGGAAACCCUAAUUAGGGUUUGGAAAACCCUAAUGUCAUGAAACCCUAAUUUCGGGACUGAUUGGGGCCCGAAUCGGGAUUAUUUAUUAAACUUAAAUUAUUAAUUAAUAAUUGUUGGCAAAUUAAUCUAAAGCAAUAUUUGACUUAAGGGAAUAAGUCUUUAAUAGGUUAAGUAGGAACACUUAACCCUAAUCAUCAUUUUAUGUGAAACCCUAAUUUCUCUUGGGCCUUGAGUUGAGCCUUUCCAUUGGGCUUUGGUAAUUGGAUCAUUAAUGGGCAAUCCAAGAAUGAUCGUAUGGACUAGACUGUGUUGUUGGGCUUUAUGGUAAGACCCAUGUGAAGGCCUGGGCCCAAUUUGGAAAAUUGGGCCAUAGAUGGGUCAUAGUUUGGGCCUUAAGGAUUAUAUGAUAUUGGGCCAUUAGAGUGUCAAAUGUUGGACCGGAAUAAAUGGUUGGGCCUUUGAAUAAGACCAUGUAAAGGCUUGGGCCCAAUUUGGAAAAUUGGGCCAUAUGUUGGGCUUUGAUUCCUAGUUUGACUUUUGGGCCUAUGGAUUGGAUCUUGGGUUGGUAUAAAGCUAUGCUUGGGGUAAUGUAGUAAUUAUCCAAAGUAUGUAUUUAUGGUUAUGUAGUGGAACCCAAUUAUUAAUUGGGUGAUGUUCUGAUGUUGACAGUUCGGGAACUUGUCAACCAGCACUGGAGUUUUAUCUGCGGGACUUCAGUAGUGCCAGGUGAGUCUCCUCACCAUACCAAUGGGUCUAAGGCACCAAGGCCGGCCCAUUUUAUGAUAUGGGGUACACUAGCUGAAGUUGUAUUAUGUGGCAUAUUAGUUGGUUAUUUUCUAGGAAGUAUGUUGGUGGUAUAUGUGUUAUGCUUGUAUGGAAGACCAUGGGAGAGCCCAUGGCACCUGGAUGUAAGACCAUGAAUUUCC